GAAUCAAUGAUGAGUACUCUUAACUCUAUGCAUUCUUUGGAAAACCUCAACAAAAUGAGUGAGAACUCACACCACCGCUAUUCUCAUCAUAUCUGAGGUCU
Molecule: small nucleolar RNA, 101 nt
Filed under: Sorex araneus (European shrew)
Lineage: Eukaryota; Metazoa; Chordata; Mammalia; Eulipotyphla; Soricidae
Description: Small nucleolar RNA SNORD116 (ENSSARG00000016751.1)
Rfam family: Small nucleolar RNA SNORD116
About the family: HBII-85 is a member of the C/D class of snoRNAs, which contain the C (UGAUGA) and D (CUGA) box motifs. HBII-85 is encoded in a tandemly repeated array with another C/D snoRNA, HBII-52, in the Prader-Willi syndrome (PWS) region of chromosome 15. Unlike most other snoRNAs, HBII-85 is expressed prevalently in the brain (but is absent in PWS patients) and lacks any significant complementarity with ribosomal RNA.
Source: RNAcentral